UACAGAGGUCGCAAGCGUUAAUCGGAUUUACUGGGCGUAAAGCGUGUGUAGGUGGUUGUACAAGUCGGUUGUGAAAUCCCCGGGCUCAACCUGGGAACUGCUUCCGAGACUGUGCGACUAGAGAUCGGUAGAGGGCGGUGGAAUUUCCGGUGUAGCGGUGAAAUGCGCAGAUAUCAGGAGGAACACCGGUGGCGAAGGCGGGACUCUGGGCCGAUACUGACGCUGAGGAGCGAAAGCGUGGGGAGCAAACAGG
RNAcentral lists this ribosomal RNA (253 nucleotides) under uncultured bacterium. RNAcentral describes it as "partial 16S ribosomal RNA". It matches the Rfam family "Bacterial small subunit ribosomal RNA", at positions 524 to 776 of the family's 1533-position model. The record is from RNAcentral.